This 402-nucleotide ribosomal RNA is filed under the name Monodopsis subterranea. Its description in RNAcentral is "Monodus subterranea partial small subunit ribosomal RNA". It matches the Rfam family "Eukaryotic small subunit ribosomal RNA", at positions 30 to 432 of the family's 1831-position model. The record is from RNAcentral. Lineage: Eukaryota; Eustigmatophyceae; Eustigmatales; Monodopsidaceae.
GCUUGUCUCAAAGAUUAAGCCAUGCAUGUCUAAGUAUAAGUAUUAUACAGCGAAACUGCGAAUGGCUCAUUAAAACAGUUAUAGUUUACAUGAUAAUCGAAUUUACAUGGAUAACCGUAGUAAUUCUAGAGCUAAUACAUGCAUCAACUCCCAACUGCUUGUCGGACGGGAUGUAUUUAUUAGAUUGAAACCAAUGCGGGGCAACCCGGUAUUGUGGUGAAUCAUAAUAACUUUGCGGAUCGCAGACCUCGCGUCGGCGACGAAUCAUUCAAGUUUCUGCCCUAUCAGCUUUGGAUGGUAGGGUAUUGGCCUACCAUGGCUCUAACGGGUAACGGAGAAUUGGGGUUCGAUUCCGGAGAGGGAGCCUGAGAGAUGGCUACCACAUCCAAGGAAGGCAGCAGG